CUCGAACAUGACGAUUCGAAGAACACGGUCGCCUUCCGAACCCGGAAGCUAAGGCCUGGUCGCGGCGAUGGUACUGCACUCGAGAGGGUGUGGGAGAGUAGCACGCCGCCGCAUU
This 115-nucleotide ribosomal RNA is filed under the name Bifidobacterium pseudocatenulatum. Lineage: Bacteria; Bacillati; Actinomycetota; Actinomycetes; Bifidobacteriales; Bifidobacteriaceae. The record is from RNAcentral.